RNAcentral lists this ribosomal RNA (253 nucleotides) under uncultured bacterium. RNAcentral describes it as "partial 16S ribosomal RNA". It matches the Rfam family "Bacterial small subunit ribosomal RNA", at positions 524 to 776 of the family's 1533-position model. The record is from RNAcentral.
UACGUAGGCAGCGAGCGUUGUUCGGAGGUACUGGGCGUAAAGGGUGUGUAGGCGGGUCUUUAAGGUUGGUGUGAAAUCUCCCGGCUCAACCGGGAGGGUGCGCCGAAUACUGAGGGAUUCGAGUGCGGGAGAGGAAAGUGGAAUUCCUGGUGUAGCGGUGAAAUGCGUAGAUAUCAGGAGGAACACCGGUGGUGUAGACGGCUUUCUGGACCGUAACUGACGCUGAGACACGAAAGCGUGGGUAGCAAACAGG